Molecule: long non-coding RNA, 797 nt
Filed under: Struthio camelus australis
Lineage: Eukaryota; Metazoa; Chordata; Aves; Struthioniformes; Struthionidae
Description: lncRNA (ENSSCUG00000015936.1)
Source: RNAcentral
GCAAUUCCCAAAGGAAGCUACCUCUUGAGCAUAAUGUUACAGGAGCUAUACUGUCAGGGAAGAGUUCUGGUUUUCCUAAACCAGUCUACCCACACUUAAAUUUCACUGGCAGGAGGUUUCAUAUUUCAGCUCCCUACCAUAAACCAUUGCUCUAGAACAAAUAUCCAAGGCAAAAAUAAAAGUUGGCCCUUUGCACUUCAAGCCUUAGUGCCACAGGCUUUGAAAACCUGCUGCAUCAGCCAGGGCCUCGCUUGGGCCUUGCUCAGAAAACAGUUGAACUUUUGUCCUCCCACUGGGAAUGUACGUGGCAAGAUGUGCUUUGCAGCAGUGUAAAGAACUGGGCUGUUCUCUGGAUGCAAUAUGAUAUAAAGAAAAAUCAAGAACGACAGUAGAAACACUCUGUGCUCAAAGUAGGACAGCAUGCCACACCCCGGGAGAAAAACACAGAAGUGUGCGUGCAGCAUAUCUGUGAGGCUGACUGCAAUUUCUCCCAUGCUGUAGGCACGCCAAACCUAGCAAGUCGCCCUGGGAACCACUGCCCGCGGCUGCUGCCGACUAUCGCCAGCCAUCAAAUUGGCAGCAUUUGGCAUCUGCCAGUGAGAGAAGCUGCUAGAUCAAGUGCUGUCGGUUGGACCGUGAGCUUGCUGAGGACUGGUGAGCACUUAGGAAGGCAAUCAGGUGAUGCAGUGGGUUCGCAGAGGUGCAUUGCAGCUAGCUGUACUGAAUCCACACAGUCCCCUUAUCUGAAGAGCGAAGGAGGAGCCUCCAGUUCAAGAUCUUGUGACAGCAUUUUUUGA